AUUCGCACUGUUGACCCGACGUCACAAUCGGUGGGGGUUAUAAAAAUCCCCUGAAUUUAUACUGCAGUCAUUCGCAGUGAGAAAAGCCGUAGACAAAGCAGUCACACCGUAGAUAAUUGGAACAGAGACAGCCAACAAAAUGACGACCGUUUACAUUGGAUUCCUUCUCCUUGCCAUGCUUUUUUCAUCACAGGUCCAUGCGCAGAACACUACCACACAGUCCCUUCCUACGAAUGUGACCAAAGCUGACUUCACGAAUUCCUCGAUGCUCAACGUCAGUACCACGAACGUCAGUACCACGAACGUCAGUACCACGAACGUCAGUACCACGAACGUCAGUACCACGAACGUCAGUACCACGAACGUCAGUACCACGAACGUCAGUACCACGAAUGUCUCCAUUCCUCAAGGAGCCAGUGUGACCUUGCAGUCCAGUGCAUUCACGCUCCUCAUCCCUGUGGUGGGCUCGCUCCUACAGGGCUGCUUCUAGAGGGUUCAUCUGCACUGAACAAAAGCCAAGACUAACAUCGGCAGCCUAGAUGUGCAAAUGUUUUACAAAGAGCACAUUAAUUCUCGGAAGGUAGACAUUUGCGCACCUAAGCUGCGGGAUUCGGCGGCAUGGGCAAAAACACUACUUUGUGCUCGCACCUCCUGGCUGCUUCAAACCGUAGGCCUACACUCUGCUCACUGGCCCCAAGGCCAUGGCCUGGCAACAAGCUGUCUCACUGCAGAAUGGGACAUUUGUCCAUAUACCUUUUUGAGGUUUAGGCAUUAAUUCACAAAUGGGUAAGGAUAGUUAACGUGGUCGGUAAGGAUAGUUAACGUGGUCGGUUAGGUGACUUUGUGUGCCAGGUUAGGAGAAUGAGGUAAAGUGUUAGCUUUAGAUACUGUUGUCCCCAACGUGAACUACAUGGCCACGGACCAGUGGUGCGCGUCAAAGUGCGUUUCUUAAUCAAGUUACGCCCCUACUCCUUUGCUUCACUUGGUCCCACUGUUCCUGAUUUCAGACAGCAGAGUUUAUCUUGUGUACAUUUUGGCUGUGCCUGGGGAAAUCAGCAACUGUUUGAGGUGCAUUGGAAAAUAACAGCCUAUAUUUGUCUGAUCUGUGGCACUUAUGUCCUUAACAGUGCUAUUCUUAAUCCUGCAACUGCAAUGGAUACUUUGUCAGAGGCUUGAUGUAGCCUACACUUGUGAUGAACUUAUUGCAUUUUAUAUUGUAAACAUGUGACUUAUGUAAGUCAGUGAUGCUUUUAGAUCUCUUUAUGUCAGGUUCAAUAAAGCUUUGAAAUGUGUUUGUCAUGAUUAAUAUUUAAUGUCCUUGUACAAUAAAAUAUGACAUUUAAUAUAACUAACUUAUCCUGUCAAUUCCAAAGCUUGGCAUUCAUUGGCUUUUCUUGUCUGUCUUACAAAUCCAAUGCUGCAGGUCUUUCUCAAAUGACUGGUUAACAAUUGUGCCUUACAGAGUUUUCUAUUGCUGCUUAGCAAAGGGCAAUUUUUGCUAGAACUGUUGGGGGAAAAUCUGUUAAUGGGUCACCAUAGAAAUCCAUGCUGUCUUCAAAUGGCACUUACACCAACUUCUGUGGCAAGGCCUAACAUUAAGUAUUCAGACCCCUUGACUUAAACAAGUUAGACUUAUAAAAUUCAUUAAAUAUUUUGGAUACUCUACACUACACUUGGUUUGACUGUC
Oncorhynchus tshawytscha (Chinook salmon) is the source of this 1687-nucleotide long non-coding RNA. The record is from Ensembl. Lineage: Eukaryota; Metazoa; Chordata; Actinopteri; Salmoniformes; Salmonidae.